UGCCAGCCGCCGCGGUAAUACGGAGGGGGGUAGCGUUGUUCGGAAUUACUGGGCGUAAAGCGCGCGUAGGCGGACUAUUAAGUCAGGGGUGAAAUCCCGGGGCUCAACCCCGGAACUGCCCUUGAUACUGGUAGUCUUGAGUUCGAGAGAGGUGAGUGGAAUUCCGAGUGUAGAGGUGAAAUUCGUAGAUAUUCGGAGGAACACCAGUGGCGAAGGCGACUCACUGGAACAUUUCUGACGCUGAGGCGCGAAAGCGUGGGGAGCAAACAGGAUUAGAUA
This 279-nucleotide ribosomal RNA is filed under the name uncultured bacterium. RNAcentral's name for it is "partial 16S ribosomal RNA". It matches the Rfam family "Bacterial small subunit ribosomal RNA", at positions 506 to 784 of the family's 1533-position model. The record is from RNAcentral.